UGUUGCUGAUAACUAUGGCCUCUCAACCCUGCUGUUAGCCUCUCCUGUCUCCUGACAACCUGCAGACCUGGAUUCCCUUGGGUUUCUGUGGAGAGGUUUCCAUAGGCUGAGGAAUGACUGCACCUCAACUAAAGUUGGCAGGGAUCAGCUGACAUAGAUGUCUAGAAGGGAGUAAAGAAAAGGAACCCCUCAGGAGUCAUAGGAUGAGACUGGAGAAGAGAGUGAAAGGAGCCUGCCAGAACUUAUUGUGGCCUCCAUAAAGGUUAGGCAAAACUGCAGCUCCAGGGUUUUAAGGACUACAGGCCUGCUCCAUUCCCUGCGGGUAUACAAGGUACCAAAGUGAACAGAAGAAGUCAGCUCUACCCUCCCUACACACUGGCUAGAUUAGCUGACCGGCCA
This is a long non-coding RNA of Caretta caretta (loggerhead turtle), 399 nucleotides long. RefSeq lists it as uncharacterized. The record is from RefSeq and is a predicted model, not a curated record. Lineage: Eukaryota; Metazoa; Chordata; Testudines; Cheloniidae.